This 253-nucleotide ribosomal RNA is filed under the name uncultured bacterium. RNAcentral describes it as "partial 16S ribosomal RNA". It matches the Rfam family "Bacterial small subunit ribosomal RNA", at positions 524 to 776 of the family's 1533-position model. The record is from RNAcentral.
UACGGAGGGUGCAAGCGUUAAUCGGAAUUACUGGGCGUAAAGCGUGCGCAGGCGGUUUGUUAAGUCUGCUGUGAAAUCCCCGAGCUCAACUUGGGAAUUGCAGUGGAUACUGGCAAGCUGGAGUACGGUAGAGGAAGGUGGAAUUCCAGGUGGAGCGGUGAAAUGCGUAGAGAUCUGGAGGAACACCAAAGGCGAAGGCAAUCUUCUGGAGGACACCUGACGCUAAGGGACGAAAGCUAGGGGAGCGAACGGG